CAAAUAUUUAUUAUACGUAUUUCUGUGUUUACGUACAAUUCCUUCCUGGUUCCAGAAUUCGUGUGAGACAUUCGGAUGAUUUUAGAUGAAUAUAUAAUGUUUGUUUUCGCUCGGUUGUUAUACUCAAAAUUCUCAUAUCUGUUCACUUCAACAAAUGUCUUGGAUGCAUAUUUGCAAUCUGUCAAUGUGUUAGUGUCAGUAAAACGAAAUGAUACAAUAAAUAACGGAUCACAACGAACACAUUACGAUGAAAAAUUAAAAGAAAAAUACUAGCAGAUUUGUUUGCAUGUACAGGAAGGCACGUACACUUUGAAUGAUUUGUGAACGACUGUAAAUAAAGGACUUUAUCUAAUGUUCGCACUUUACUAUGAUAAAGCAGCAAUACUUGAAAGAAAAAUCAGGAAUAUCUAGAUAAACGAUAUAACAACUCAACAGCCUGCACACACCGAAUAUCGCACGUUCUCACAGCGAAGUGCCAUUUCAUGGUGGGAUAUAUAAAUGCAGCUGGUGAUGCAAGAGCAGUUGUAACAUGUGCACCGCUAAAGUGAUGAGCGAUUAUAUAUCAGUGUGGUUGAAAUAUCAUAGGACUGAGGUUACAAUGUGAUUUGGAGACAACAGCGAUAAUGAGGCUGGAUCAGUUAUCCACGGAUUAUUUUCUUUUAUUUAUCACUCUACCAGCGUGGAUGGCACCAGAAAGUUUCGGCUACAUACUGGAGUCGAGUCCCCAACAGACAUUUCCGUUUUCGUUUAUCGGACAAAUGUAUCCAACGGGAAAGCAUCUAAACCCUAAGAAAUUAUUCAGACGUCUUGGAAAUAGUUUUGAUCCAGAGUGGAUGUCUGUGACAGAUCCAAGCGAAAAUAAGUUGUUCCAAAACUCGUCUGUCCACGAACAUCAUUCAAAUGGUUUGUACGCAUACUCCAUGACACGAGCAAGAGUUUCCGAUAUUUUGCGGGAUAGAUAUAACUUUGGAAUCGAAAUCGAAUCUUUGGAUGUGAUUGUGACUUUUUUGCACGAGCUUUCCACGUGUCACGUGAAUUACAUGUGGGAGGAUUUAGGGCAAUUAUUUUGGCCUCGAUUUGUUAAAAAAGGCUCCUGUGACUCCUCUGGCCCCUGUUCGUGGCCCCCGGGCAUGAGAUGCCAAAAAGGUCAAGAUAAGAAACUUCAAGUCCUAAGAUGGAUUUGCAAAAAGGGUCGACGGAAAACCGCGGGACAAAAAAAGAAUGUAAAUUUCACAAGCAGACGACAAAAUAAGGAAACAAAUCACGUGAUACUUGGUGAUAGGGUAAAAUGUAAGUGGAGAAAAGUUCCGUAUGAGAUAAUAACGUCUUGUGUUUGCAAGUGUGAUUAAAACAUAGACGUUUGAAAGUUGCUCAUAUUAAAACUCAGACAACCGAAUAAACUCUAUUCGGUUUAUGUUGAUCUUUGUAUUGUUCUGUUCAUUGAAUAUAUAUAAUUAUAAGUGUUACUAUUUAUUAUUCACAACCAAACUUUACAUCAUGUGGAAGUUUACAGUUUGCAUUAACAUAUAUUGAUAUAAUUUAAAUAAAAAUGUUGAAACAUGU
This is a long non-coding RNA of Mya arenaria, 1563 nucleotides long. RefSeq lists it as uncharacterized. The record is from RefSeq and is a predicted model, not a curated record. The transcript is spliced from 3 exons. Lineage: Eukaryota; Metazoa; Mollusca; Bivalvia; Myida; Myidae.